Molecule: ribosomal RNA, 253 nt
Filed under: uncultured bacterium
Lineage: Bacteria
Also listed under: 1 other name
Description: partial 16S ribosomal RNA
Rfam family: Bacterial small subunit ribosomal RNA
Source: RNAcentral
UACGUAGGUGGCAAGCGUUGUCCGGAAUCAUUGGGCGUAAAGAGCGCGUAGGUGGCUUGUCAGGUCUGAUGUGAAAUUUCGGGGCUCAACUCCGAACCUGCAUCGGAAACCGGCUUGCUAGAGUCUGGGAGAGGAGAGUGGAAUUCCUGGUGUAGCGGUGAAAUGCGUAGAUAUCAGGAGGAACACCGGUAGCGAAGGCGGCUCUCUGGAACAGUACUGACGCUGAGGCGCGAAAGCUAGGGGAGCGAACAGG